GGCCCUAUCAUGAAACUGAUGCAUACUUAUUUUCUUUUGUUCAUAAGAGGCUCUUGGCUUCUUUGGAAGAGAAGGUAGUGGCAAUCUUGGAGGUAUUCUUAUUUUCUUUUAGAAGGAUAAAGAGAAGUAAAAUUCUAACAGGCCAGUAACAAGGCUCAUAGGCUCAGAUUUGGGCUAAAAUUAGGAGUUAAUGGCAAUUUAAAAAUAUCCUCCAUAGUCUACAGACUCUUAAGAUGCCUUGACUAAGAAUCCUGUGUCCCAGGAAGUGCUUGGCUUAUCCAAACACAGUUUGAUUUCCAUUGGUUUCUUCACUGUAUUUGAUGUGUAGAAUUUGCCUGGAGAGUAUUGAGACGUCAGUACCUUUAGAGAAUCCUAUCACAGCUUCUAUAGGGUGUACCUGCUCCUGCCCUUGUCCUGCAGGCAUUUUAUGCUUUCCAGCUCCAUGAAACCUUAUAAAACCUUCCAAUACAAUCAUCAUCUGUUGCUGUC
RNAcentral lists this long non-coding RNA (489 nucleotides) under Mus pahari (shrew mouse). Its description in RNAcentral is "lncRNA (MGP_PahariEiJ_G0002724.1)". The record is from RNAcentral. Lineage: Eukaryota; Metazoa; Chordata; Mammalia; Rodentia; Muridae.